Cephus cinctus (wheat stem sawfly) is the source of this 4074-nucleotide long non-coding RNA. RefSeq lists it as uncharacterized. The record is from RefSeq and is a predicted model, not a curated record. Lineage: Eukaryota; Metazoa; Arthropoda; Insecta; Hymenoptera; Cephidae. The transcript has 7 exons.
AUCACGAAAUCCUACUCCCGGACUCGCCGUUACGAUUUAGCGCCAUGCUUUUGGUAUCGCCUAAAACCGGAGCGUUGUACAUCUCCCCACUCAUCUCUGGUGCGGAGCAUGCUCGAUACUACUCAUCACGUUUCGUGCUCCGUGAAGUCCUUAAAGACCCUAGCAACCGCUUCCGUAUCGUUGCUAUGCCAAGACGUCACAAAAAUCGUAGAGACUUAGUAAACGCUCGGUUUUAAAAACGAUUUUCUCAUUCUUGAUUGGAGGAUCCAAUGGAAUUAGAAUGGCCUUGAGAGCGAGUUCUGAAUAGGGGUUAAAGUGUUAACUAUUCUUGUACUGUUUAUCUCUAAUCCUCCGGCCAGUAUACAUGAAGAACUUCCAUUAAUACCAACAAAGGUUAUAGGCCCAAAAUCAAUUUGAGAAAGUGAAAAUGACAAAUCUGAUGAAUUCAACACGCAUCGAGUUACUAAACAAGGAUAAUUAUGAGACAUGGAAAAUGAAAGUAAAAGCUUUGUUAACAAAAACGAUUUAUAGGAAUAUGUCUCAGGAAUGAAGAUAAAACCCGAAGUAUCUACAUUGGAUAUGGCUGCUCUGCAAGCAAUUUGUACAUGGAGUAAGGAAGAUAAAAAGGCUAAAGCCGAUCUGAUUUUAAGCAUAAGUCUGUGAAACUAAAACAGAUAAAAAAUUGUGAAACAUCUUGUGAAGUAUGGAGAAAGCUCGAAUCAAUAUUUGCAUCAAAAGGUCUAGCAAGAAAGGCCAUGUUGUUAAAACAAUUAACAUUACAGAGAAUGCGUGAAGGUGAUGAUGUAAGAGAGCGUAUGAAAAAACUGUUUAAUGCUGUCUAUAAGUUAGCUGACAUGAAUAAUGAGGUUAACGCUGACCGAUUAACCAUAAUCUUAUUAUAUAGUCUGCCUGACAGUUUUGACAAUUUUAAGUGUGCCAUCGAAUCCAGAGAUCAACUGGAUGCAGAGACUUUGAAAGUCAAAAUUCUUUAAGAAAAUGAUGUGAGGAAACAGAAGUCUAGAGAGAGUUCUAUAGGAGCGAUGGUAGCAUCAACAAGAAAUAAGUCGGUUAAAAAAUUUAACAAUCUAAAGUUUCAAAAAGGAGAUAAAAUAGGGCUGCAAGAAAAUAAUUAUAAUUUUAAAUGUUAUCGGUGUAACAGGAGAGGGUACAAAGCUGUUGAAUGUUAUACAAAAUUAUAUUCGAUUAAAUGAAGCAAAUGUUGUUGAUGUCUUUUUUUGCUUGUGAAGCUAACUGUGAAAGCAGCAUGUGGACUGCAUGGAACCCUAAAAAGGAACGAUGGUAUGUAGAUAGUGGAUAUACUACUCAUUUAUGUAAAAGCCAACUAUGGUUUUGAGAAAUACAGGCGGUAAAAAAUGGAAAUUUUAACUUAGCCAACGCGAAUUAAGUUAGAUGUGAAUUUAUACGCUUUAAAAAGAUUACAAAAAUAACUUAAUUCUAAAUGAUUAUUAAUAAGAGUGAUGCUGUUCGAUUCAGCUGUCAAUUCUCACUGACUUCCUCUCAAUCGUUCCGUAUAAAGACACCUUGGUUUCCGGUGUCCGGUGUCUCUGUAUCUUAUCGGUAAGGCUACCGUAGUCAUCAUAACUCGCGGCAUUUACCUAAGUAAAGGGAAAAGGAACUGAUGAUAUAAUGAUAUUGGUUGAAAACCAAAACAGUCUAUAAGUUUUAACAAUGCAUUCUUAGUACCUGAUUUAAGAACAAACUUCGUUUCUGUCGUUAAGACCCCAAAUUGUGAUUAUGAAGUAAUUUUCAAGAAAAAUAUAAGAAUAAUAAGGAAUCAAAAAGGAGAAGUUAGGAUGGUAGUGGACAGAAUUGGAAAUUUAUAUUAUGUAAGGGAAGCAGAACAAGAAACUAAUAAAGCAACAAUAAAUGCAAACUCUGAAAUGAAAUUAUGACAUGAAAGACUGGCUCAACUCAACGAAAAAGAUCUAAUAGGAAUGAUGAAGAAUAAUUCAGCAAAAGGAAUUAUUUUCGAUCAAAAUGCAACUUUUCAAGGAUAUAGAAUUUGCUUAUUAGAUAAGCAAUAUGCACAUUCUUUUCAAGAACAUCGGGAACUAUUUGAAGAGUUUUUGAAGAUUAUACAUUCGGACAUUGUGGUCCUAAAAGACUUGAAUCUGAAUGAGGAGCAAAAUAUUUCACGACCCUCAUUGAUGAUCACUCAAGGUGGUGCGAGGUAUACUUAUUAAAGAUCAAAAACGAAGUUCUGGAUGCUUUCAAGAAAUUUAAGAUGAUAGAGACUCAAACAGGAAGACUACUGCAGCAAUGAAUUUGACAAGUUAUUACAAGAAAAUGGUAAACGAAAAAGGCUCACGACAUCAUAUGCCCCACAACAAAAUGGUGGUGUGGCCGAAAGGAAGAAUCGAACACUUGUAGAAGUAACGAGAUGUAUGCUUAUUGGAUCGGGUUUGUCUCAACCCCUUUGGGCACAGGCAAUUAUGACUGCUAAUCAUAUUAAAAAUAGAAUUCCAACAAAGAGCUGAAUGGGAAAAACGCCAUAUGUAAUUCGUUUUAAAACAAUACCUAAUUUAAAAUACUCAAGAGUGUUUGGAACUCAUACAUUUGUUUCACAAAGAGAGGACCAGGUGUGGAUAUUUUAGUUUUUUCUCCUACUUCUCCUGAAGAGAGGUAUAUACUCCUCUUGUAAGAUCCUAAAGCCUUUUAAUUAGAUGAGCAGUCGUUUUCGAGAAAAGUUAUCUGGAAAAUUUACGAAUUUGUACAGGAAGUUCUAAAUAUUAUUAAACGGAUAUUUAAAGAUUUAACAAAUGAGAAGCUUUUGAAACGUUUGGGUAGAAACACUCAAAACCAUAAGAAGAGUUGGAAUAAGUGCGUAUGACAGCUCACGCCCAAACACAUAUUCGCGGGCAACGAAAUUAUUGAAAUUUCGGGUUGGACUGCAGCAUACGUUUUCAAUGAAGAAUGCAUGACUUUAUUGAGGAUAUUAGAAGCAAUGGGAGUAAAUACCGCUUGUCAUGCAAGUAUUUUUAGUAGUCGAGGAAAUCAAGAGCGCAUCACAUCAGCUGAUUGCCUAAGCAGCGAAUGAUCUGAGUCCAGAAUGCACAGGAAAAAAAGAUAACAACGAGUUGUAAAUUGAAUUCGAAAAAACCGAGGGAUUGAUAUAAUGUGCAGGAAUAGCUGAUUGACGACCGCCUGGUGAAGAAUUAAGAUGGCACUCAUAAGGCGCCUUUCUAAAACAGAUCUGCGCAGUCAGCGCCAUGUACUGUUACGUCCUAUACGUGAGCGACCGUUUGCGGGAUCAUCAGGGAGCGAGCAUAGAUGUUGCGAUCAAAGAUCAUGUAAAAGUCCAGUUCCCCAUUACGUUGGCGGCACUGUGAUUAUCAACUGAGGAUAUUUCAUACACGUCAGUCGGCACCAGAUCUCCCGUGACGUUGAAUUCGGUGCGAAGAUCAAUGAGUUUACAACUUAUUAGGUCGAUGGGUACACCGUAUGUCUGAUCCAGUCGGCUCCGAUGAUUGCAGACUUGACUUCCGCGAAGCUAAACGGCCAUUUGAAUGCUCGAUGUAGUCCCAGGUUGAAAGUCAUCAGUUGCUAUCCGUAGUUCGCAGAUUUCUACUCCCUGAGUACCAAGUUUGAUCUACAUGAAGCUAUUUUUUCAUUUUCAUCGACCAUAUUGGAUCCAGCAUUUUGCAUCUCUGAUUUUUUGAGUUCAGAUUUAUAAUUAAUGACCCGAAAACCCUUGAUUAUCGAGCUUGCUAUGUAUCUUCGGAGUGGAGAUAGGAAAGCAGAGGUAAAUCCCUUGUUAUGGCAAGAGUAUUUAUUGGACUGAUUGUCUUCACACAGAUUCGUACAUUUAGGUUCUCUCUCUACUUUCAUUCUCUCCCACAUACACACAGGACUCCUCAUAUCUUGUAACGUGAUUUUAAAGAACCUCGCCACAAAGCGGUGUAGCAUUACCUGGUACAGAACUACUGUGCUUGUCCACUCUCUACACGAUAAUCAGUAGCCGUAAGACACCUCAUCGUGUGAAUUCGAAAACCCUUUUUGUUUAUGUGUCGCCUACCGGCCUUUAUAAAGUAUUGUGAGAUUUAAAACAUGUUA